AUUGAACGCUGGCGGCAUGCCUAACACACGCAAGUCGAACGGCAGCACAGUAAAGACUUCGGUCUUUAUGGGUGGCGAGUGGCGGACGGGUGAGUAACGCGUAGGAAUCUGUCCUGGAGGGUGGGAUAACUCGAGGAAACUCGGGCUAAUACCGCAUAAUAUCGAGAGAUCAAAAGCAGGGGACCCUUCGGGGCCUUGCGCUCUAGGAGGAUCCUACGUCGGAUUAGCUAGUUGGUGGGGUAAAGGCCUACCAAGGCGACGAUCCGUAGCUGGUCUGAGAAGAUGACCAGCCACACUGGGACUGAGACGCGGCCCAGACUCCUACGGGAGGCAGCAGUGGGGAAUCUUGGACAAUGGGGGAAGCCCUGAUCCAGCGAUGCCGCGUGUGUGAAGAAGGCCUUCGGGUUGUAAAGCACUUUAGUUGGGGAAGAAAAGUAAUAAGUAAAUAAUUUAUUGCUCUGCCGGUACCCAAAGAAUAAGCACCGGCUAACUCUGUGCCAGCCGCCGCCGUAA
This 513-nucleotide ribosomal RNA is filed under the name uncultured bacterium. RNAcentral describes it as "partial 16S ribosomal RNA". It matches the Rfam family "Bacterial small subunit ribosomal RNA", at positions 30 to 523 of the family's 1533-position model. The record is from RNAcentral.